This 497-nucleotide ribosomal RNA is filed under the name uncultured bacterium. RNAcentral describes it as "partial 16S ribosomal RNA". It matches the Rfam family "Bacterial small subunit ribosomal RNA", at positions 28 to 507 of the family's 1533-position model. The record is from RNAcentral.
GAUGAACGCUGGCGGCGUGCCUAAUACAUGCAAGUCGAGCGAACAGACGAGGAGCUUGCUCCUCUGACGUUAGCGGCGGACGGGUGAGUAACACGUGGAUAACCUACCUAUAAGACUGGGAUAACUUCGGGAAACCGGAGCUAAUACCGGAUAAUAUAUUGAACCGCAUGGUUCAAUAGUGAAAGACGGUUUUGCUGUCACUUAUAGAUGGAUCCGCGCCGCAUUAGCUAGUUGGUAAGGUAACGGCUUACCAAGGCGACGAUGCGUAGCCGACCUGAGAGGGUGAGCGGCCACACUGGAACUGCGACACGGUCCAGACUCCUACGGGAGGCAGCAGUAGGGAAUCUUCCGCAAUGGGCGAAAGCCUGACGGAGCAACGCCGCGUGAGUGAUGAAGGUCUUCGGAUCGUAAAACUCUGUUAUUGGGGAAGAACAAAUGUGUAAGUAACUAUGCACGUCUUGACGGUACCUAAUCAGAAAGCCACGGCUAACUACGUG